GUCUCACAUUUUUCCUACCAAACUCAUUGAUCGCUGCUGCCCCACAAAUUCCCUUCCAAAAAAGAACUAAUCGACCAAAUCUCGUAGUCCACCACAUCCAUCGUCCAUAUACUCAUUUCCAUAGAUCAACUUACACCGUUGGAUUAAAGUCAUGUGUCGUUAGAUUAAAAUGUGCAACCCUAAAUAGCUUUAUCUUUCUUUUCUAGUCCAUUUAUUCGCCGCCGCCGCCGCAACUCUCACCUCUCCUACAUCUCUACUUAUAACCACGACACCCACAGACACCCUUCUUCAUCCCACGCCUUCAUAGAUCAUCGCCGGAUCUCAUUCGAUUCUUUCUUGUCUCCAUAUCUAACUAGUUCUAGAGUCCGCCAUGGCCCCCACUACCUCCACCCCCUUCAAAUCUAGGGUUUGAGGCUACAAGCGGAGAGGGAUAAGUGGUGGAAACUUGAUGUCCAAAUCAAUCAUGAGCCCGGGGUACGGGCCAUGGAAUCACUUCAUCGAUCGAACACACGACGAAUCAGCACCCUCAAAAAUCAGAAGCUGGAACCCCUCUAGGCCCAUGGGAAGAUUGGAUGCUGAGAAGAGGAAGGCGAUCGAGGGUUUUGGGACUACUCAUCCAUGCAAUCAGGGGCGAAGCUAUGUUCAGGAGAGAGGAUGCACAUGCACCCAAGAAAAUUUACAAAAUCAAUGUUUUAGACCAGAUUUUGACCAUAUAUGCACCACCUAUAAAUCAUUGCUAUACACCCUCAAAGUAUGUGCACCCUC
Molecule: unclassified non-coding RNA, 765 nt
Filed under: Zea mays
Lineage: Eukaryota; Viridiplantae; Streptophyta; Magnoliopsida; Poales; Poaceae
Description: misc RNA Zm00001eb145620
Source: RNAcentral